RNAcentral lists this unclassified non-coding RNA (2955 nucleotides) under Hevea brasiliensis (rubber tree). The record is from RNAcentral. Lineage: Eukaryota; Viridiplantae; Streptophyta; Magnoliopsida; Malpighiales; Euphorbiaceae.
UUUACAAGCUCUAUUUUCAGGUCUUCAUUCUCUCUCUUUAGUUUGGAGAUCUCAUCAGAGACAGCAUGGAUAUCAGUGGAGUAUAAGUUCACUUUGGAAGGAAGUGCAGGGGAAUCACCACCCAUUAGAUUGCCAUUCAUGACAUCUCGAAGACGCUGUUGCUCGUAGUAUAGCACCUGAACCACAGUCUGAACAGGAAGCCGGUCAUUUUGGGCAGCAUGAGCACAAGCCUCCCUCGACAGCUUCUGACAAUCCAUCAAACUGCAGACUUUCUUCCUUUCCAUGUCACUUAAAGCAGGAUGAGCCUACAGAAUUAUAAUUAGACAAGCGCAUCAAAAGCAGAAACUUCUCUUGAAGGAAAUCCAUGAAGAUGUAAGAGUGCCACAAAUUCAGUUCCCCCAUUGAAUUUAUUCGAUAUGUUUGUAUACUAAUAGUUAAAAGUCAUCAACUUUGCAAUACGUUGCAUUAUACUGAGAACUAAAGUCAUAUCUACAUAUAAAUUACACAGUUCAAUAAAUUGAAAAGAACUAAACUGGAAUAAGAAUAAGUUAAUAAAAUGCCUUAAGCAUCUAAAAUUUUUUAUGUACAAAAAAAUUGCCAUUAAGAAGGUGCUAUAGGAGAUGGUAGCUAAUUUUUAUAUGGGCGGUUGUCAAAAAUUAGUAUUGAUGUUCUGGAAAUAAGAUUGUUAGAAUGAUCAAAAGAUCCAUAACAUGAACUGAAUAAAAUUGAAACAUUUUAGGAAGGCAUAAUUUUGGUACUGCAAAUAGAGAGAUUACAUAUAAGACAGUGCACCUUGAGGAAGAUGUCUAUGGCUCUAUACAUCCCAUCUUCUGUUAUCCUUGAUUGUUCAGGAAUAAGUUCAGCAAGACCAAUGAAUCUUGAAACAGUUAAAUUCCUGUCAGAGGCUAUUUCGGCUAGGUAGUUCUCCAUCAGCUUCCCAACUCGUUCCGUGUCACUUGGUGGGGGAGAAACAUACUCACCAUCUGCUUGGUAGCCCAAUCGGUUUCCUUCCACUGUGUAUUCGAGGUAAUUCAUCAUGAUCCUCUGAAUUGUAUCCACAUCAAACAAUGUGUCCCCAGUGAAUGAAUAAGAAGGAAUCAAGAGAUCAUCCAGGGCAGCCUGUCCUAAUUGCAAGGCCAUCCUCUUCUCCAAAUCAAGCCGGCAAGCAACUGUUGUUUCGAUAUAUAUUGCUGCACGUAGCAGCAUAGAUAGAAAGCUAACUGACAGUACAUUCCUCUCCCUUGGCAGAAGACUAACAAUUGUCUCUAAAACAACCCUCUUUUCAUGCUCUUGUUGAAGUUCAAUUUUCUUCCUCCCCUUUCCAAAUAUUUCCAAACCUCGUAGUGAUUUCUGUGCAUAAAGCAUAAGUAUGGGACCAAGAGCAUAUUGUUUGAAUCCUCUAGCCAUCAUUGCAACCAAAACUCUUUGGAAGAUAUCAAUCCUAAGAAUAGUUAAUUCUUCAGCCCACCAAUCAACAAUGGGCUUUGGUUGAGACAUUGUGGAAGAAAGGAUGCCCUCGUUGCCAGUAUCAGACCUGCCUGUCAUAGAAAAUUGGCUUUCCCUGCAGGCCAUGAAUGCUAUUGCAUCUAUGCAUCGACUCACCAAUUUUAUUUUCUCUGCCAGUGGAAGGAGGUUUUCUGAUAGGUGUAAGACAGAAACUGCCCCAGCAAGACUCUUAAGUGCCAUUUCGCUCAAGUAGGCUUCAGUUCUUGCCACUAAGUUUCCAACUGCAUAAUCCUCAGUCAUCUCUAGAUACUCUGCCACACAUCGAAGCAAGGCAAUGUUUUCUAUACUUAUUUCGAAAUUUAUUCCAUAACAGAACUUGGCUGCAAGUUCAAAUGCUUCUGCCCCGCCAGGGAUAUCAGGGGUUUGAAUCUCAGAAAGAUCGGCAUCAUUAGAUUCAGAUACCAUUUUCCUUAUGUAUCCACACUUUGAGACUAAUGGAAACUGCCAUGGGAAUAGGAGACCAACAAAAAUUCUCAAUUCAAGCAAAUUAAACGGGGACAAUAAGGUGAGUUACAAUUAGGCUAAAUGAUGGACAGUUCUCUAAACAUGGAAAAUUUAGGCUUAGACAUAUUCUUGUUAGAAGUAUUAGAAUUCCACAACUAAAAAUACUUUUUCUAGACUUCAUCAACCACUACUGAAUUCCUGUUGCUUCCUGAUUUGAUUUGUUGACACAACUAAAAAAUAAAAGAAAGGUACCACAGAAUAUGCUUGUUUUAGACUCGUAGACUUCAAUUACUAAAGAAGUUUGUCCCAUGAACAUUUCUUGCAAUUUUAAUGAUACCUUAAAAUGAGAAAGAGGAAUCAAGAUUAAUAAAUCCAACCUUAUGCAAUGAAAAGGAAACUCCUCCAGCAAGAACAGUGACAUCGCUGGGGAUUUCCUGCGAGAAAAUCCUGAAAAAGUUCAUGGCGCCAUCUCCAUUAGUUAUACAGGUAUCCAGGAGAAAAAGAACAAGACAAUAUUAAAUAAAAACAAGAGGGUAAAGAAAAAAGAAGCAAACCAUUCACUGGUUCGCUUCAUGGCAGUGGACAGAAGCUCUUUCUUUUUGGAGGACAUGUUAGCAGCACUGGUGGGCGCAGUUUCGUUCUAAUCAAGCUCCACCACGGCAGAGAAGGAAGGAUCUUUAUUGGGAUCAUGUCUCCAUCAGCUAGUGACGUAGUGUAAUAAUGAUGAGGCCAAAGUUGCAGAGAGCAAUUCUCUUCCUUUUUUUUUUAGCUGGAAAUAGUCAGUCCACAAGGUUUUCUGGAUUAAGCAGCGAGACCGCAAUGUGCUUGCCGAUCUAUCUUCACUCUUGAGUUCUUUUUUUGUUUCCUUAUGACCCUUUUUCAAAUUUUAGGCAAGGAGCUUAUGGACUUAGCAAUAAUGGUAUUAGAAGCUUAGCCCUCUCAUAAUUUCUCUAGGGACAAAUAUUUUAUCAUAUCCAUUUUCAGCCUCACAAAAACAACAGUGAC